RNAcentral lists this long non-coding RNA (1417 nucleotides) under Coturnix japonica (Japanese quail). RNAcentral describes it as "lncRNA (ENSCJPG00005014292.1)". Lineage: Eukaryota; Metazoa; Chordata; Aves; Galliformes; Phasianidae. The record is from RNAcentral.
ACAAAAUCAAAGCUUCUAACUCUUCUGUGACAGGAACUUACUUAAGAAAAGACUUUUUUUACCACUGAUAUUGCUGAGACCCCUCAGCUGUGGGAUGUUUGAGGAAAGAACCUGGGGUAAUUUGGCAUCAAGAAGGUGGUACAAAUAGGGCUAAGUCCCCAAAGCAUCCCUGCCAGACCUUCUGAGCCCUGGAUGCCUCACUGUGAUUCUGCUCACUCCCAUCUCCUUUUUCCCCUCAUAAAAGCGAGCUUAGUUUUUUCUCUCCACAUACUCACAUUUUCUGUUGAUGUUUCAUGAAUUUCUAAGUGCUCAGGAAAAAAUAAAAUAGGAAAAAGAAAAGAAAAGCAAACAAUCAGCACUGUGCUGUGGGCAGCUGGAAAUGGUGAUCAAUCAGCACAAUGGGGUGAGUACAGACAUCAGCCCCAGGUGUGAGAGUCCAACAUACCCUUGGCUGAGAGCUGCUGCCCUGGUUUGAGUGCAGAGCUGAGUGUGCUGCUGAGAUACACUGGUUUUGCUGGUUUCCUGCUUCUGUCUGCUCUUGCUGUACGUCUGAAAAUGGAAUUCCUGUCUCUUUCAGCCUGCUGAAUACAGAGCCAAUUACAAAAGGCUGGUGGGUGACUUGAGCCACUAGAGCAGGGUGGAAGUCUGCGAAGGUGUUUUGUACCCAGCAAGAUCUGCAGCAGAGCUGAGGGAGGGAAGCCCUUCACCUGAGCCCUAUCCCUGCUAUCGAGGCACAUCUUGACUCAGCUCCACAAGGCUCUGAAAUAGUCCAAAACAGGAGGACGGGCAUUCAGUCAAAGCAAGGAUUGCAGGAAAUGUCAGAUGUGUGAGCUGUUACCUCGUAGGGCUGAAACCCUUGGAAGGUCCUUGGCUGGAGAAAGGGAGUAGCUAUUGGAAGGUGACAUGGAUGCCUUCUUGGAGUUGCUCCCAAGUGGCCUUUAUCUGGGACAGAAAGAGGAAUAAUAACUGCAAGCAAAGAUACCACCCAAUUGGAUGGCCCUGUUGUGUGACAGCAACCUAUCGCUGAUUGAAGCAGGGGGUUUACAAGGCCUUGUCUCUGUACCCAAAUCCAUUAUUCUUGAAACAACAUGACAAAACAUUAUAAAGUUCUAUUGAUUGCCCUCUGUUGAAUAACAAUGGGCCCUAAGAAUCAUUCUGGAUUACUUAAUGAUGUGUAACUCAGCUUAGCAAAGCUUCAUGGAACAUAACUGUUAUUACGGCUCUUCAACCCUUGUUCUUGCAGUGUUGGCCAACCUCUGGCCUCAGAGUCCCUCAUGGUGGAUGGUGGUGAGGUAGACCGUUUAUUAUGGUUCUCUGAGCUCAUUUAAGUCCUUAUGUCCACACUGUCUCCUUGCUCCUAGAAGGAUGUCAUAAAGCACCCAGAGAGGCUUGGGGCAGGGGCAGGCUACAUCCACCU